AUUCAAUAGCUGUUUGGUAACUGUUGAAGAUGUUUAUUGCUUAUUUCUGAAUCUUUAAUUUGUACGACUUACUUAUUCUUUGUUACUUCUUCAUCCUUAAAUAGUGUAAGCCUAUUGUUUAAUAUUCUAUUGAACGAUAUUUAUGAUAAAUCCUUUCCUUCUUUAAAAAAAUUGCGCAAUAAUUAUGACUAAAAGCUUACAAGUAUAUAGACGCUUUAAUUGUUAUUGCUUUUGUAUUUCAUUAACAUUUAGACUAUCUUGUUUAUAUUACCUUCAGAAUGUGUAUUAAUAAUCUACUAACUAAACUGAGUGCUACUAAUCAGGAAGUCUUUUAAAUUGUAAUCAUUAAACAAUUACAUUAUCGCUCAGUAAAAAUAAUGAAUUUUUGUUAAAAUUAACUCGGAAAAAUAUUGAAAUAUUUUUGUUGUUUUAAUUAUAUAAUUCUAUAAUUAAUUACUUGAAAAGGAAUAGGAAAGAGUUUAUUUAUUGUUAUAUAAUAUUAAUAGUAUUAUUGUCUUGACUGAGGCGACACUGGUAUCAGAAAACUAGGAACUGACAGGUCAUUUACAAGAGAAACAUGGCUGAAUGCGAUUAUGUCUGUACACUGGAAGAUAAAUAUAUUAAGAAAGCUAAGGAUGAACUUAAUGAAAUACCCAGCGAUAGAUUAUCAGCUGUUAAAGCUCUAAGGGAAUGGGUUAAUGAGCAGAAGCAUCUUACAUUCAACACAGACACGCUAAAUUUGAUUAGAAUUUUGAGACACAGCAAGUUUAGUCAAGCUAAAGCAAGAGAGACAAUUGAGAAUGUGGCAAAGUUUAUUUCAAAGUCUAGAACCUAUUUCUCCAACUUGGAUGCCGAAGAUGACAAAUGUCAGUCAAUGCUUAGACGAGGUCAGCUUAUGCUAUUACCUGGAUAUGAUGAUGAUGGAAGAAAAGUAAUGCUAUAUAAACUAAAUAUGAUACCUUUCGACGAGUACAAGAGAGAUUAUAAGUUUUCCGUAAUGGUAAAAGUCAUGAAUACUGUAUUUAUAUCCCUGAUGGACGAUGAAAUGUUUCAAGUCAAUGGUGUUGUGAUGUUUUUCGACAUGACCGGCGUUACUUUGAAAAUGAUUUCAACAUUUAAUGACCCAGAGUCUAUUAAAUACCAUAAAGACAGUCAGAACGCCCAAGUAGGUCGACUAAAAGGUUUUCAUUACUACAAUAUUGGAGGUCUCUUUGAAGCUAUGUUUUCCAUGUACAAACCGUUCAUGAAGCAGAAGCAUAAGGAAAGGUUACGUGUACAUGAAACACUGGAAUCAAUUUAUCGAUACAUUCCCAAGAGAAUGCUGCCUAACGAAUAUUUACCGGAUGACUAUGACGGACCAAGAGCUGGAUCUCUUGUAGAGAUUGGAGCUCAAACAGCGGACGCAAUACUUAAAAAGAGAGAGAAAAUCCUAGAUUUUACUGAUCCAAAGCACAUAUCCUAUGAUGAAAGUAAAAAACCAUCAGCUGAACCCCUUCAACAUUUUAGAAAACUCAAUAUUGAUUAGAUGUAUAAGUAAUACAUAGUGCAAUGAUAUAUGUUCUUUUAUUUACAAAAAUUAAAAUAUAUUUUAAAACUACUCUAUUUUCUUUAACGUUUGAGAAUGUUUAGUCAUAGCCAUCAAUUCUUGACGUGUUCACUUCCAAAACUACAAUUGUGACCAUUAGUCACCUAAUCUAUAUGGAGUUAGGAAAUUUGCCAUAUUUUUUACGACCAUAUUUCACAAUAUGCUUGUGAAAAUCGAUAAGAAAAGCAGUUUAUUUACCUGGGGAUACCUAGGC
Molecule: unclassified non-coding RNA, 1799 nt
Filed under: Dimorphilus gyrociliatus
Lineage: Eukaryota; Metazoa; Annelida; Polychaeta; Dinophilidae
Description: cRAL-TRIO domain-containing protein
Source: RNAcentral